UAAGGAAUAUUGCUCAAUGGGAGAAAUCCUGAAGCAGCAACGCCGCGUGGAGGAUGAAGGGUCUAUGACUUGUAAACUCCUGUAAAGAAGGAAAAAAUUCCCAUUUGAUGGGCGAUGAUGGUACUUCUGGAGUAAGCCCCGGCUAACUACGUGCCAGCAGCCGCGGUAAUACGUAGGGGGCAAGCGUUGUCCGGAUUUACUGGGUGUAAAGGGUGCUCAGGCGGAUUUGUAAGUCAGAGGUGAAAUCUUACAGCUUAACUGUGAAACUGCCUUUGAUACUGCAAUCCUAGAGUAUGGAAGAGAGUGAUGGAAUAUCUGGUGUAGCAGUGAAAUGCGUAGAUAUCAGAUAGAAUACCAAUGGCGAAGGCAGUCACUUGGUCCAUUACUGACGCUAAAGCACGAAAGCGUGGGUAGCAAACA
Molecule: ribosomal RNA, 420 nt
Filed under: uncultured bacterium
Lineage: Bacteria
Description: bacterial SSU rRNA
Rfam family: Bacterial small subunit ribosomal RNA
Source: RNAcentral